UACGAAGGGGGCUAGCGUUGCUCGGAAUCACUGGGCGUAAAGGGCGCGUAGGCGGCCAUUCAAGUCGGAGGUGAAAGCCCAGGGCUCAACCCUGGAAUUGCCUUCGAUACUGUUUGGCUAGAGACCGGAAGAGGUAAGUGGAACUGCGAGUGUAGAGGUGAAAUUCGUAGAUAUUCGCAAGAACACCAGUGGCGAAGGCGGCUUACUGGUCCGGUACUGACGCUGAGGCGCGAAAGCGUGGGGAGCAAACAGG
This 253-nucleotide ribosomal RNA is filed under the name uncultured bacterium. RNAcentral describes it as "partial 16S ribosomal RNA". It matches the Rfam family "Bacterial small subunit ribosomal RNA", at positions 524 to 776 of the family's 1533-position model. The record is from RNAcentral.